Erigeron canadensis is the source of this 782-nucleotide long non-coding RNA. RefSeq lists it as uncharacterized. Lineage: Eukaryota; Viridiplantae; Streptophyta; Magnoliopsida; Asterales; Asteraceae. The record is from RefSeq and is a predicted model, not a curated record. The transcript has 3 exons.
CAAACACACACUUCCCCAUUCUCUCUUAAUUCUCUCCCACUUUUCUCUUUUCUCUCAAAUAUUUUCUUUCAAGAACUUCUUCCUUUUCUUCUUUAAAUUUUCAGCCAUGCAACACAAAUUGGAGCUAGAAAUUCUAAUAAAACAACAACAAUAAUAAGGGUCUUAGUUAGAUUACAUCAAGGAUUGUUGGGAGCAAAUGUUGGAGCUUAUUUGGUGUCACUUUGGAGCCUUCCUGGUUGAAUUUUCUGCCAAUUUUCCAGCCCCAAAACAACCCCCAAAAUCGGUCCAAAAAGGAAGCAAGAACAAGGCAAGAAUCAAUCUAAACUUAUAAUAAUAAUAAGGGUUUGUUAAGGGUUAAUCAAGGGUUAAUUGAAGGUAUUAUUAAGGGUUAUUUUGAGCAAGGAUUAAGGGUUAUACGGAGCUUAUAAGGUCACGAAAUUUCUGCCCAAAAUCAUCUCCAAAACCGAAUUCAUCAAGGGGAUAGUCUUGACUUUGAAAUGUGGAUGAGGACCAUGAUGGAAUACAUGAUCAAGGAAGUACCUAUUUUGGAUAAGUAUAUAUAAUGCUCUGCAUAUCAAGAUGAAUAUACGUGUUGUAUGGAUCUCAUGAGUUCAGUGGUGUUUAUGAAGAAUUAUUUAUGUUAACUGGAUGUGUGUCAACCGUUAAGAUAAAGGGUCUCCAAAGUGUAUGAAAAUUGAGUCUAUACAGUCCGGAAUGAAGAAAGCUCAAGCUUGUACGUCGAGCAGAGUACACUUACACACCAACAACUCACCAAAAUUCAA